GCUGGCGUCCUCUUCGCCGGGCUCACAUGGCGGCUCCAGAGCAGAGAGCAGGAGGAAGAGAGGAGAACAACUUCCUGUUUGUCCCUGGUUAUAAGACAAACAUAUACACAGAAGGACCUCCCCCAUAGGAGCUGCAAUCCCCGGGCCGUGUCCGUGGUCCUUUGGGAAGAAGGUAUGUUACAGUACUGGAGCGUUCCCAUUAAGUGGUGUUCUCUUACUGUUCCUUCCAGCUCUCCCAGGCCAAGUCCGGAAAGUUCAACCCACACGUCCAUGUAGAGUAUGAAUGGAACCUGCGUCAAGACGAGAUGGACGAGAGUGAUGACGACCUGGACGACAAACCAAGCCCCAUCAAAAAGGAGCGGUCACCCAGACCCCAGAGCUUCUGCCACUCCUCCAGCAUCUCACCACAGGACAAGCUGGCGCUGCCCGGGUUCAGCACUCCGCGGGACAAGCAGCGGCUCUCCUAUGGAGCCUUCACCAACCAGAUCUUCGUCUCUACGAGCACAGACUCACCCACGUCACCCACCACCGAGGCCCCCCCUUUGCCACCCAGGAACGCCGGGAAAGGUAUGGGCUUGAGUGCUUGUGGGCUUGACCUCACAGCUGCUAGUCUGGCUGAAGUGGCAGAAUACGGAGCAUACUGUCAGGGACAGCCCAAAAUGGCGACGGUGUCGUCUCUCAGGCGCCGGUAGCGGGAAAGGUAGUAUCAUGGCUGUUCUUGGUGUGUUCUUGGUGGCUCGCAUGAAGCUCCUGUGAAUUGUGUGGUUUUUGUGCCCACCCUACAGAAAGAGAAGCUCGGAUUAAAAGAGAUGAAUGGCUUUUCAGUGUCACACAGCCAUUAGGUAGUUGAGCCUCCAUCUGAGUGUCACGUGACCCGAGCUCUUUGUAGCAGGGAUAACGCUUGGUUCUUUGAAAGGCUACUUUCCUCUGUGCUGAGGUGCCUCUGUCAAACACGUGGCUGUCUGGACUAAAGAGGAAGCCCAGUUGGCAAAAGGCUUGUCUUUUGUAUACGGGGCCCUGGGUUUGAUCCCCAGCAUUGUGUAAAAUUGCACGAUGGCGAUCGCUGUUCUUCCAUAUAUUCCAACCUUCAUGCUUUCUGUUUGUUUGGUGGAUUGGUUUUGUUUUGUUUUUCGAGACAGGGUUUCUUUGU
Molecule: long non-coding RNA, 1150 nt
Filed under: Cricetulus griseus (Chinese hamster)
Lineage: Eukaryota; Metazoa; Chordata; Mammalia; Rodentia; Cricetidae
Description: lncRNA (ENSCGRG00000024547.1)
Source: RNAcentral